CCGCCCAGCUCCCCCCACUCGGCGGCCGCGCGCUCCGCCAGACCCUUCCUCCCUUCAACGCCCUAGUCCCGAAAUCCGGGAGGCGGGGGUCGGCGAGCAAGCUGAGUGGGAACCGCGUGGUGUACAAGGAGCCAGUCGGCGACCGGUUUCCUUCCAGGCAUAGACCCCUUUUCUUCCAGGCAAACUCCAGCAUGGGGGUACAGAACAUCCUGCUCCAAAGGCAUGAGAAGAGAACAUCCUAUAUUGGCCACUCCUGCCCAAUGUGGAGGGGAGCAGAAACUCCAGAGCCCACCCCUGAAGGUUUGUGGCUUUCAAGGCUUUUUUUCAAUGGAUCCCAUUUAUGGGGUGUUUUAACCAAGCUCUGGGUAUUUAUGAUGUUUCCAUCUGCCAAUAAGAAAAUGACUGCUGACCAUUUUGUUUGCUUCCUCUCCUUAACCUAUUGAGUGACACAGCCUAUAACUCACAGCAACUAUACCUCAUCUCCACUGAAUUUAGCUGGGACCAGUCCAUGAGCCUUGAGGGAGAGUAGUCAGUGAUGAGGCCCACAGGAGGCUCUGUACAGACAGGCUGAUCCUGCUCGCAGACAGCUACCUGGACCAACUUGUCAAAAGGGUUUAGGGAUAACAUUUGAGAUAAAGAGGAUAGCAGAUCAGAUCCCAUCCCCAUAAAGGGGCUUCUCUGCUACUCUGGGUUCUCAGAUCCCUGGAGCUAGAGCAAUGAGAAAAGUCUGCGGAAUGUUUGCAAACAACUUGGAUGACCUGAGAAUUAGGAAGGAAUGCUUCUUCCUUCUCUGCAGGUUUGCUAAAAAUGUGAAAAGCAUUUCUAGAAUAAUGCCAUUAACUUUCAAUAUUAUUCCUUAUGGGUUAUUCAUGUUCCUUUUUGCCCCUUUCCUGGGUCCUGAGUUUCUUUCUCAAGGCUAGGCCAGGGAACUUUUAGGCUGUGUACUGGUGUGGAGUGAUUAUCAGGUACUGUCCAAAGGCAAGGUGCAAUACUUUGGGGUCUCUCAGAUAACCAUCCCUUGCCCAGGCCCCAGCCCUUUCUGAGACUUUUG
This 1051-nucleotide long non-coding RNA is filed under the name Ursus americanus (American black bear). Its description in RNAcentral is "lncRNA (ENSUAMG00000008835.1)". Lineage: Eukaryota; Metazoa; Chordata; Mammalia; Carnivora; Ursidae. The record is from RNAcentral.